This 296-nucleotide unclassified non-coding RNA is filed under the name fungal sp. RNAcentral's name for it is "partial internal transcribed spacer region". The stretch from base 1 to 46 matches the Rfam family "Eukaryotic small subunit ribosomal RNA", at positions 1786 to 1831 of the family's 1831-position model. Lineage: Eukaryota; Fungi. The record is from RNAcentral.
AAGUCGUAACAAGGUUUCCGUAGGUGAACCUGCGGAAGGAUCAUUACCGAGUGAGGGUUCCUGUCACGGGCCCGACCUCCCACCCUGUGUCUACCACACCUUGUCGUUGCUUCGGCGGACCGGUUGGACCACCCUCCUCUCGUGGGGGGGGCGGUCACGACCGCCGGGGGUGCUUCACCCCGGGAGAGCGUCCGCCGAUGGCCUCACCACAACUCUUUGUCCCCAAACCGGUCGUCUAAAGAAUUACUUGAUAUGAAUCAAACACAAAACUUUCAACAACGGAUCUCUUGGUUCUG